RNAcentral lists this long non-coding RNA (629 nucleotides) under Monodelphis domestica (gray short-tailed opossum). Its description in RNAcentral is "lncRNA (ENSMODG00000033963.2)". Lineage: Eukaryota; Metazoa; Chordata; Mammalia; Didelphimorphia; Didelphidae. The record is from RNAcentral.
UUUGGGGUCAAGGCAACAUGAGGAACUGUAUUGCGGGGUCACAGCAUUACAAAGGCUGAGAACCACUGAUCUAGAAGGCUUUCAGCAAGUUGGAUGGAACACCUGUAGAGAAGCAUAUAAACAAGAGCUGCACAGGCCCACUUCUUUGAUGGAAAAUGAUGAAGUGCCCAGUGUUCCUUUAUUGGCUCAACUCCAUAACUUAGUGAGAAAGAAGUUUCUCACUAUUUUAUGGACUGAAAACACAUAUGGUGCCAGGAAGGAUAUGCAAGAGGAGAUGAAAAAGCAAAAAGAGAAAAAAAAAGGGCCUAUCACAGCUUCCAAAUUGCCUAGCACUUCUCAGGGGGGCAGUCUCUGUGGGAUUCACACCACUCAUCCUCUGAAGGCAUCAACUCUUAUCAAAAGUAUUCACCAGUUUCUGAUUGAGUUUCUGAGGGUAUGAACUCUUUAAAAUGAAUCUCCAAGUCAAUAUUCUUGCAGCAAAUCAUUUUUAAUUUGGAAGUUAUACUGUACCAUAAAAAUCUACACAGUAUAUUAGAGAACCAGACACAGAAUUGCUAUGCUAAGCACACUGUAAAUACAAGAACUGUUUCAGUAAUGCAAGAGGAAUAAAUUAUCAAUUUAUCAUCUCA